AGAAGACCCGGAUCACUAGCGGGAAUCCUGAGCUAGAAGGAAGAGAUGAAGGGUGCAGGGGGCGUUGCUGGAACACAAUUGGAGAAAUUGGUUAUUUCACCAAGGCUUUAACUGGAAUGGUGUGCUUUCCUUUAAGGAAUCAAACUUGACUUGUAAAGCCAAUAAAAGCCCCUUGGAGAAUUGGCCUCAGAUCUUGUCUGCAACUGUCCCUGUAAAGAGAUGGGGUCUUGCUAUGUUGCCCAAGCUGGUCUUGAAAUCCUGGUCUCGAACUCCUGGUGUCAAGCAAUAUUCCCACCCUGGCCACCCGAAGUGCUGGGAUUACAAGUGUGAGCCACUGCGUCUGGCCUAAAAUCUACGUCUUCUGCACAGGUUUUCUCUCUGCUCUGCCGCUGCAUCCAUGCAUGUUUGUAUAAUAAUAGCUAACUUAUAUUAAGCCACUCCUCUGUGCCUGGCAUUGUAUAUCCUUAUAAAACCUGUAUUAUUUAAUCCUUAUUGUAGAGACAGGAAAAAUGAGUCUCAGAAAGUUAAGAUUUUUUGCCCAACAUCUGACAAGUUUCAAACGAACUUGAAUUCAGGUAGUUAAUUGUCUGAAAAUAACUCUUCUUUCCAGCAGACUUGUAAAUUUCAAAGUAAAUUGGAAAUUUAGUUUAAAUUUUGCAUUUUUCUGGAAAAAGAGAGGAAAAAUAGGAAAUCCUUCAUAAUUUCCAAAAGUUUUAGAAUAAAUAAUAUGGGAAGAGGCUACAUUGUUAUGGAUCUCCUGGGCCACUUAGUGAAAAUGACUGAAUGUUAUUAUUUAGUGCAUUUAAUCUACAAAUUCAGACUUCAUUUUCAAGCUUCAAAUAUUUUUGAGAUAUCUGUGGAGUAUAGCUUUAUGACUAAAUUUUGUGUCCCAAGAUGCUUCCUUUACUCUUGAUGCUGAAAUAACUACACUAGGUUAAAUACAGAAAGGGUUUGUAGGUCAACAUUCAGGAAAAUAGCACACUGAACAUGUGGUUUUAAAUAAUGUUUUAAUGAAGAAGAAUGAGAAGGUUAUUUUGCAAGACAGAGGGGAUUGUCACAUCACGCCCACCUAGAAUUCUAAGGCAAGAAUAUUAAUGGAGACUCAUAAAUCAUUCGUUCAGUUAUUUUCAAAUUAGUUCUUAAAAUUUUAAAGUCAAAUACAAAUUAUAAGAUUGAAAAUUAAAAAUUCAAAUCAAAAA
This is a long non-coding RNA of Gorilla gorilla gorilla (western lowland gorilla), 1199 nucleotides long. RefSeq lists it as uncharacterized. NCBI's taxonomy places the organism in Eukaryota, Metazoa, Chordata, Mammalia, Primates, Hominidae. The record is from RefSeq and is a predicted model, not a curated record. The transcript is spliced from 3 exons.